This 639-nucleotide ribosomal RNA is filed under the name Trichoderma tawa. RNAcentral's name for it is "eukaryotic LSU rRNA". The stretch from base 257 to 410 matches the Rfam family "5.8S ribosomal RNA". Lineage: Eukaryota; Fungi; Ascomycota; Sordariomycetes; Hypocreales; Hypocreaceae. The record is from RNAcentral.
UGGAAGUAAAAGUCGUAACAAGGUCUCCGUUGGUGAACGCAGCGGAGGGAUCAUUACCGAGUUUACAACUCCCAAACCCAAUGUGAACGUUACCAAACUGUUGCCUCGGCGGGAUCUCUGCCCCGGGUGCGUCGCAGCCCCGGACCAAGGCGCCCGCCGGAGGACCAACCAAAACUCUUUUUGUAUACCCCCUCGCGGGUUUUUUAUAAUCUGAGCCUUCUCGGCGCCUCUCGUAGGCGUUUCGAAAAUGAAUCAAAACUUUCAACAACGGAUCUCUUGGUUCUGGCAUCGAUGAAGAACGCAGCGAAAUGCGAUAAGUAAUGUGAAUUGCAGAAUUCAGUGAAUCAUCGAAUCUUUGAACGCACAUUGCGCCCGCCAGUAUUCUGGCGGGCAUGCCUGUCCGAGCGUCAUUUCAACCCUCGAACCCCUCCGGGGGGUCGGCGUUGGGGAUCGGCCCUGCCUCUUGGCGGCGGCCGUCUCCGAAAUACAGUGGCGGUCUCGCCGCAGCCUCUCCUGCGCAGUAGUUUGCACACUCGCAUCGGGAGCGCGGCGCGUCCACAGCCGUUAAACACCCAACUUCUGAAAUGUUGACCUCGGAUCAGGUAGGAAUACCCGCAUGAACUUAAGCAUAUCAAUAAG